This 252-nucleotide ribosomal RNA is filed under the name uncultured bacterium. Its description in RNAcentral is "partial 16S ribosomal RNA". It matches the Rfam family "Bacterial small subunit ribosomal RNA", at positions 524 to 776 of the family's 1533-position model. The record is from RNAcentral.
UACGGAGGAUGCGAGCGUUAUCCGGAUUUAUUGGGUCUAAAGGGUGCGUAGGCGGGAUGCCAAGUCAGCGGUAAAAAUGCGGUGCUCAACGCCGUCGAGCCGUUGAAACUGGCGUUCUUGAGUGGGCGAGAAGUAUGCGGAAUGCGUGGUGUAGCGGUGAAAUGCAUAGAUAUCACGCAGAACUCCGAUUGCGAAGGCAGCAUACCGGCGCCCUACUGACGCUGAGGCACGAAAGCGUGAGUAUCGAACAGG